This 75-nucleotide transfer RNA is filed under the name Liposcelis entomophila. Its description in RNAcentral is "tRNA-Leu". The record is from RNAcentral. Lineage: Eukaryota; Metazoa; Arthropoda; Insecta; Psocodea; Liposcelididae.
UAACCCUUUGAUAGUUAAGGUAUAUUAAACUUAGAAUUUAAUUAAUCCAAAUUUAUUUUCCAGAAUUUGGGUUAA